This 538-nucleotide unclassified non-coding RNA is filed under the name Hevea brasiliensis (rubber tree). The record is from RNAcentral. Lineage: Eukaryota; Viridiplantae; Streptophyta; Magnoliopsida; Malpighiales; Euphorbiaceae.
CUAAUGUCAGCAGAAGCCACAACAAGCAAUCUCUCUCUUUCUCCAUCUUCUACCUAUCGCUACUGAUCUGGCCACUCCAGUUAACGUCCCUUGGACUCAAACCCACAACUUCUCAACUCACAGUUUGGUACACAAUACUAGCUAUAGCUUCCAAUUCCAUGAUGAUAUUUUUGCUCCCUCCUCAUACCAUCCUUUUUAUAACCCACCUUUCUUCUUCUCUCCUCUUACCAUCUUCUUUCUUUUCUAUAUUGCUUACUUUCCUUUGCUUGCCGUGGCCUCAACCACCAUGGCUGGGCUUGCCACCGGUUCUCAUCCUCUGCAGGAUUAUGACGAGCACCGGCCUUCAACACGCCAGUCUGUGACUUCGAAAAUAUGCAGAGUCUGUGGGGAUGAGAUUGGUGUGAAGGAAGAUGGGCAGCUUUUUGUUGCUUGUCAUGUUUGUGGAUUUCCUGUUUGCAGGCCUUGUUAUGAGUAUGAGAGGAGUGAAGGAAACCAGUGCUGUCCUCAGUGCAACACUCGAUAUAAGCGUCACAAAGGU